RNAcentral lists this ribosomal RNA (445 nucleotides) under uncultured bacterium. RNAcentral describes it as "SSU rRNA". It matches the Rfam family "Bacterial small subunit ribosomal RNA", at positions 26 to 518 of the family's 1533-position model. The record is from RNAcentral.
AGAGCGAACGCUGGCGGCAGGCCUAACACAUGCAAGUCGAACGAACUCUUCGGAGUUAGUGGCGGACGGGUGAGUAACACGUGGGAACGUGCCUUUUGGUUCGGAAUAACUCAGGGAAACUUGUGCUAAUACCGAAUGUGCCCUUCGGGGGAAAGAUUUAUCGCCAUUAGAGCGGCCCGCGUCUGAUUAGCUAGUUGGUGAGGUAAUGGCUCACCAAGGCUUCGAUCCGUAGCUGGUCUGAGAGGAUGAUCAGCCACACUGGGACUGAGACACGGCCCAGACUCCUACGGGAGGCAGCAGUAGGGAAUAUUGGACAAUGGGCGAAAGCCUGAUCCAGCCAUGCCGCGUGAGUGAAGAAGGCCUUAGGGUUGUAAAGCUCGUUUGGCGGGGAAGAUAAUGACGGUACCGCAGAAUAAGCUCCGGCUAACUUCGUGCCAGCAGCCGC